AGCGCGGCUGACUCCGUUCCUCUGCCAGCAACUGCCUCGCGUCGGAUCCGAGCAGCAACAAGCGCCAAGGAUGCGCUCCAGGAUCACCCUCUGGGCAGGCAGCCCGGCUCGCGAAGAAAAUUGACAAAGACACCAGAGCCGGUAAGAUCCGCUUCGCUUCCGAUUCUGCUUCACAUUUUGUUUCUCUUUCAAUACCGAAGUAAAAACUGGCUGGGAAGCUCGGUUCCAAUGCGAUCUUUAUGGGACCGAUCAUCGACUCUCUUCCUGGCGCACGUGGCUAAGGAUAGGCAAAAUAAUCUUUGGCCACUCUCGCUUGCUCAGUCCUGGGCACCCUGACAUGCCUACUCCGGAGUAAGCCCAGCAGCGCCGUUCAGGGAGGAGGCAGUGGCGGAGAGUUAUUGGUCUAUUUCAUUUAUCUCAUAAAAUUUAUACAUCGCUUGAUUUUUUAAAAAGGAAAAAACCUCAAAGCGGUUUACAAAAAGAAGAAAGCAAUAAAAUUAUGGGCAGAAGCAGUUAAAAACAACUAUUAAAAAUUCUAAGUCACUGAUAAAAAGCACAUGUCAGUAUGCUACCUGGCUGGACAGGCUCGUCUAAAGAAAAAGCAGGUGUUUUUAGCAGGUGCCAAAAAUGAUACAGUCAAUAGGCAGGGAGUUCCAAAGGGCCGUUGCUACAUUAAAGAUUGAUUUAUUACCAAUGUGGAAGGAAUAUUAUGUGGUGCCAGUAAGAGGGCCGGUUCUGCAAAUCAAAGUGGUGGAGAAACGCCCACAGUCCUAGUUAUUACUCCCAAUUUGAACUUUGACUACAACCGACAGCAGAUUUCCUCUUCCCCUCCCCAAACCCAGAAAUCACCUGGAAGUCACUCAAAUUGCCUCCAUCAGCUGGAGAACUUGGCCUUCACAUUUCAAGUGGGCACAGUGGGGAAGAUCUUCUCACUUACUACAGAAGAGAAGGUGCUGGUAUCCCAGAGUUUCCCCUGGCUUUAGGCAGGAAUCCUAACUCCAUUUUCCUGGGAAUAAGCCCCACUGAAUUUAAUAGGAUUUCCUUCUGAAUAGGCGUGAUUAGCCUUGCACCGCAAGUCCCCAUUCUCUGAUGUAACUAAGCAUAUCUAUAUCUAACUGAAAGUAGGUUUCCCUCCAUUAUGAAAGCUGGCGCAAGAGCUUAUUGUUUAUCUAUUUUUCAAAAUGAUCACUUAGUGUAACAAAAUCUCUGGAUGGUUUACAUCCUCCUCCCAUUUUCCUUCCUUUCCUCCCUUGUCUCCCCUGAUUGUAAGGUCUUUGGGGCAGGGAUCUGCCCUGUUAUCCUUCAUAAAAGAGGCAGAUCGAUGACAAUUCAUCUGUCUACCAUCACCAUCUUCGGUGCGACAGCAAGUCUCUCCUAAACUGAAAUAGUCUUCAUGAGUCAGACUCAACGGGACUUGUACAUGCAUGACUCAAUUCAUCUGUAAGAGGUUUUUUAAAAAUUCAUUCAUUCAUUCAUUUAUACAUAACAUUUCUGUUCCACUCUUCUUGUGCUCCUGCACCACAUGGAGUGGCUUACAACAAUUUAAAAUUGCAACACAAAUAAAAAUAUUAACAAUCUUAAAAAUUAAUUUGUUAAGUGGGCUAGUGUGGAAAUACCAGAGCAUCAUUUGGAACCCUAAUUUUUGAUGUGCACCAGUCCUAUAAGGAGCAGUAGAAAGAGCUGACUGUGUUCAAGCCCAGAGAAGAGAAGAAUCAGGUGAGGCAUAAUUUCGUCCCCAAAGACCACGGGAACUGUAGUUUACCACUCACAGCACCCUCACAAAGAGCCGUUCUCAGGAUUAUUUGUGGGAAGCCAUGUGCUUCAAAUGUGUGGUGUGUCUAUCACGACAGUGAUCUUUAAAUAUCUGUGUGAUAGGGUUGUCACGCAGGACAGGCCAAGCGUGUUAUCUGUUGCUUCAGAGGGCCAAAGAAUGGAAAUUGAAGAUUUUGGCUAAAGGUUAGGAGAGGCUUCCUGCUGCUAAAAGAUCCUGGGCAGUGGGAGCAGCCAGCCUCCAGGGGCAUCCUGCUCUCCUUGGCUGGAAGCAUUUCAGCAGAGGCUAGACUGGGUCAUCUGCCAGGGCUUCUGUUACUGCAAGAUCCUGCAUUGAGCAAGAGGGCUAGGCUGCCAGGGUCCCUUCCAGCUCUGACAAUCUAUGACUCUGCAUUUGUUCCUUUGCAAGGGGAAAUUCCCUCUGUGUCUGCUCAGGGGCACUUGGUGCAUUCUGGAGUUGAGUGUUGGCACUGAGCACAGGCACGGGGGACCUGAGACAUGGCACAAAUUAACCUCUUCCUUUGGCACUUCGGCAACCUGGCGGAAAACAAGCAAGGCUAUCUUGCCACUCCAGAUGCUUCCAAAGGAACAGCAACUGCAAGGAAGAGGAAGAGAAGGAGCACAAGGAGGUGGGAGAGAGGCAAUUCUGACAAGUGGCAUCUGUAGAUUGUAUGCACAUGAGCUUGGAGAGUUUGAAUUGCUUCCUAUCCCAUGGCUGUCCUUUUCAGGCUUUCUUGGCCAGACACCUUUUUCUUUCAAGAGAUUCCUGAAGGUUGCAGUUCAUUCUUGAGAUGUUCCAAGGCAUAAGCUGGCAGAAAGCAGAUUUGGCGUCUAUCGGGUAGAUCACUGGGCGAUCUGCAGUAGAUCGGCAAGCCUUUCUGAUUCUAAACAUGUUAACAAAAUUGAACAAUAUUGGACAUAGACAAAUAAUUGCCUGUUUUUCAGCCCCCUGUAAAAUAGGAGCAUUACCUGGUUGUCUUUGGCAAGAUCUUUGCUCAACUCCGCUGGCUGCUUUGAGCUUAGCAACCCUGAUAAUUUAAGAAUUCAGAUGUUGAUCUGUUCUUGUAGAUACAGACUAGCCAGUGCCGGAUUUACAUAUAAGUUAAACAAGCUAUAGCUUAGGGGCCCCCAAAAUUUAAAGGAAAAAAACAACUGGAUGUACAUUUCUAAAAUGUAAGAUAAAAUACAUAUUUUGUUAUGAGCAAAUGGCUUUGGAUACCUAUUAGGUCCAUAAAAUACCAUAUAGCAUAUAUUCAACACACAAAACCAGCGACAAUUUGUUGUUGACAGCUGGACAUAUAAAAGGCCCCAUUACCUUCAGUAGCUAAAUCCGUCCCUGAGACCAGCCCAUUGUGUGGCUCAUUCUAGUACCUGACACUGAGCCCGCAUUUUGUAUCUGACUCUUUUCUGGUAGACCAUGAGAGUUCUUGUAAAAAGGAAGGAAGACGAUCCCACCGCAAGCUUGAGGUCUGUCCACCACAGCUGCAGGGUGCCUCUUGGUCCUCACCAUCCCCACCACAAAAGCAGCACACUUCCUACAACGCAGCCAUUGCUUCAUGCUGCACAGAGAAAAUCAGGAGUGGUGGGCAAGUUGCCUUUCAGGGAAGCUCUGCCACCAUUCCUGAGUUUCUCACUGAUCCUGUUCCCUGGUGCACUCUUUGAAAACCUUUCUUUGGUGACCAGCCGAGAAGGGAUAAAGACACUCUUAGGUUGUUCCCCCGAGAUCUACUCCUCAGAGACAAAGGAAGGGAAUUAAGAACAAGACCAGCAGAAGACAAAGUAAAGUGCAGGUACAAUUAUGAAGAAGAUCUGCAGAAGGGACAUGGAAAAGAGUUAAGAGCCUCGGACAUAAGAUCACCAGGUUGAUGGACUAGAUGGAACAGAUAGAAAGGACUGACAGAACCCGAGACCAGGAAGAAGAGACGGUGGAUGAAGAUUGGCAGAAAGUUUAAAAAUUCAUUUAGAGAAAUAUUGCAAAAUUAACGACUGUUAGGAAAAUCUUGGAAUGAAACUAUUAGGCUUUAGUAGAAAUGUUAUAAGGAGUUAUGUAUAAAUAAGUUUUUAAGUUUUAGGGUUUUUUAUGGUAAGAUAAGGCUAAAAUAAAUUAAGACAACUAAAGGACAGAAUACAGUGAAAGAUGGAAAGGAUUUGCUGAGAUAAUUAAUAAUUAGAAUACAAAAAAGGGAGGUGUGAGGAGGUCGAGGAAAUAAGUUAAUGAAGAUAAGGGUAUGGGAAUAUUGGAUUUGUUUUUAAAUUUAUUUUUUUGUUCUUGUUUUUGAUUUUGCUGUAUGGUAUGUUUGGUACUUUUUAUUUUCUUUUUAUUGAUUAGUAUUGUUUAAUCUCUUUGCUUUUCUUUCUUUUCUCUUUUCUGUAACUUUAAAUUCCCAAUAAAUAUCAUU
Molecule: non-coding RNA, 4169 nt
Organism: Podarcis lilfordi (Lilford's wall lizard)
Lineage: Eukaryota; Metazoa; Chordata; Lepidosauria; Squamata; Lacertidae
Source: the annotation of a GenBank genome assembly